AUGCAACGCGAAGAACCUUACCUGGUCUUGACAUCCCGGAGACCCUUAGGAAACUAAGGGGGUGGCUUCCAUCUGGAAGAAUCUGGAGACAGGUGCUGCAUGGCUGUCGUCAGCUCGUGUCGUGAGAUGUUGGGUUAAGUCCCGCAACGAGCGCAACCCUUGCCUUUAGUUGCCAGCAGUUCGGCUGGGCACUCUAAAGGGACUGCCGGUGUUAAACCGGAGGAAGGUGGGGAUGACGUCAAGUCCUCAUGGCCUUUAUGACCAGGGCUACACACGUACUACAAUGGCCGAUACAAAGGGCAGCGACACUGCGAGGUGAAGCCAAUCCCGUAAAAUCGGUCUCAGUCCGGAUUGGAGUCUGCAACUCGACUCCAUGAAGUUGGAAUCGCUAGUAAUCGUGGAUCAGCAUGCCACGGUGAAUACGUUCCCGGGCCUU
This 436-nucleotide ribosomal RNA is filed under the name uncultured Desulfobulbus sp. RNAcentral's name for it is "bacterial SSU rRNA". It matches the Rfam family "Bacterial small subunit ribosomal RNA", at positions 954 to 1382 of the family's 1533-position model. Lineage: Bacteria; Pseudomonadati; Thermodesulfobacteriota; Desulfobulbia; Desulfobulbales; Desulfobulbaceae. The record is from RNAcentral.